GAUGAACGCUGGCGGCGUGCCUAAUACAUGCAAGUCGUACGGAAAGGCCCUUCGGGGUACUCGAGUGGCGGACGGCUGAGUAACGCGUGGGAACGUGCCCCAAAGUGAGGGAUAACGCACCGAAAGGUGUGCUAAUACCGCAUAUGGUCUUCGGACUAAAGCUUCGGCGCUUUGGGAGCGGCCCGCGUACGAUUAGAUAGUUGGUGAGGUAAUGGCUCACCAAGUCGACGAUCGUUAGCUGGUCUGAGAGGAUGAUCAGCCAGACUGGGACUGAGACACGGCCCAGACUCCUACGGGAGGCAGCAGUAAGGAAUCUUCCACAAUGGGGGCAACCCUGAUGGAGCAACGCCGCGUGCAGGAUGAAGGUCUUCGGAUCGUAAACUGCUUUUAUAAGUGAAGAAUAUGACGGUAACUUAUGAAUAAGGAUCGGCUAAUUACGUGCCAGCAGCCGCCGUAA
RNAcentral lists this ribosomal RNA (457 nucleotides) under uncultured bacterium. Its description in RNAcentral is "partial 16S ribosomal RNA". It matches the Rfam family "Bacterial small subunit ribosomal RNA", at positions 28 to 523 of the family's 1533-position model. The record is from RNAcentral.